CUUAUAGCUACAAUUAAGUAAACCAAAGUUUUGGAAAUACAUAAUGCCAUCUAACCAGCUUUCAAAGAAUGUUAGCUAUAUACAGUUAUCUUGGCCAGCCAGCUAACGUUAGCUAUUUAAACAACUAGCUAUUAGCCUAGACAACCACCACGGUUACGGUCGAGUCAGGGGUAACUGCAUAUGUGGCGUGUGUCUGGAAGUGGAUGUGUCAACAGAAGUGGAAGGAUCAAAAGUAGUGGGUGUAUGGAAAACGAAUCAGCUAAUUGGGCAGAUUGGUUGCCACUCAAGACCGUUUUGCGUGGCUGCUGUGUUUUGCGGAGUGUGGUCUUGGUCAGCAGAGAUGGAAUUUCACAUAUCACAGUUGUUAAAGCUGCCUCUUUCUUGGCUGCAUGAAUUUAUCCCAGUGCCAGAAGUGCCGAUUUGUAUAAUUUCUCCAUUAUCAAGCCCCAAGACUAUACCAGUUUGUGGGCACACAUUGAGUCUCACAUAUUGAAGGCUGUGCUGCGUAGAGAGGGAUCUGUGGAUGCUGGUGGCAUUUCUGCGUCUGAAGCCGUUCGACAGGAGAGAGUGGUGGAACAGAGUCAUACAGAGACCUGUCACACAGGGGGACAUGACCGGCCUUCAGAACCCACAAGCUCUGGUGAAGUGUAUCACGCUGCAUCGUACGAAGACCAGCCGUGUGUGUGGGCAGCCUCUGGUCUCUCUACCGGAGAAGAGCGUUAGUGUUGAAGAGGUGAAGCUGACAAAGAGAGGGAGGAAUACGAGCUGGCACGCACAGAGGGAUGCACCACCAUCAGCAGGUAUGUUGCGUAGGGGACCGUCAUCAGGAACUGUGCGGAUGUUCUGGCUAUCCUGAUCAGGCUGAGACAGUUCUGCUGCCACCAUGACCUACUGGGCAAGACCACUACACACACAGGUGUGGUAGCUGUGACUCCUGCAGAGAUGAGAGAACGUCUGAUAGAGAGGCUGGUGCUAGGCAGUGGCUCUGAUGAGUGUGCUGUGUGUCUGGACUGUCUGCCUGCCCUUCAUCACAUCGCAGAGGUAUUAUGUACCCGAGCAGGUGUGCCCUCUGUGCAGAUUCCAGAUCAAGUCCAGUGAGCUGGUGGAGUUUCCUCAGGAAGAGAAGGAGGAGAACAACCUCUCAGAGAACUGGAGGAGCAGCUCCAAGGUGGAGGCUCUAAUGCAGGGCUAUUGUAUUGUCAAAUGUCAAGUGUAUAAAAAAAGAGGUCUGUGACAAGGAUUCAGUUUAGGCAUAGACACUUGUAAUCUCCAACUGGUUUAGUCAUGAUGAUAACACGGACAUAAUAACAUCGACACCCCUCCAAGUCAAGACCUAGUACCUCCUCAAAUAUACUCUAAAUGCCAUUCUGUUGGGGCGGUACUUUGUUUGAUGAAUAUCUCCCAUUAAAAAUGCCCUCUUCCAUAAUUCAAUUCUGCCUUUCAUU
Oncorhynchus kisutch (coho salmon) is the source of this 1445-nucleotide long non-coding RNA. RefSeq lists it as uncharacterized. The record is from RefSeq and is a predicted model, not a curated record. The transcript has 3 exons. Lineage: Eukaryota; Metazoa; Chordata; Actinopteri; Salmoniformes; Salmonidae.